CAGCAGCCGCGGUAAUACAGAGGGUGCAAGCGUUAAUCGGAAUUACUGGGCGUAAAGCGCGCGUAGGUGGUUUGUUAAGUUGGAUGUGAAAUCCCCGGGCUCAACCUGGGAACUGCAUCCAAAACUGGCAAGCUAGAGUAUGGUAGAGGGUGGUGGAAUUUCCUGUGUAGCGGUGAAAUGCGUAGAUAUAGGAAGGAACACCAGUGCGAAGGCGACCACCUGGACUGAUACUGACACUGAGGUGCGAAAGCGUGGGGAGCAAACAGGAUUAGAUACCCGCGUAGUCCCUGUCUCUUAUACA
This 301-nucleotide ribosomal RNA is filed under the name uncultured bacterium. RNAcentral describes it as "partial 16S ribosomal RNA". It matches the Rfam family "Bacterial small subunit ribosomal RNA", at positions 509 to 808 of the family's 1533-position model. The record is from RNAcentral.